This 327-nucleotide ribosomal RNA is filed under the name uncultured Pseudomonadota bacterium. RNAcentral's name for it is "bacterial SSU rRNA". It matches the Rfam family "Bacterial small subunit ribosomal RNA", at positions 30 to 351 of the family's 1533-position model. The record is from RNAcentral. Lineage: Bacteria; Pseudomonadati; Pseudomonadota.
AUUGAACGCUGGCGGCACGCUUAACACAUGCAAGUCGAGCGGCAGCAUGGUGUGUAGCAAUACACAUUGAUGGCGAGCGGCGGACGGGUGAGUAACGCGUAGGGACCUGUCCUUAAGAGAGGGAUAACCAGAGGAAACUUUGGCUAAUACCGCAUAGAAACUCGGAAGAGGAAAGCUGCCCGCGAGGGUGGCGCUUGAGGAGGGUCCUGCGUCCGAUUAGCUAGUUGGUGAGGUAACUGCUCACCAAGGCGAUGAUCGGUAACUGGUCUGAGAGGACGACCAGUCACACUGGGACUGAGACACGGCCCAGACUCCUACGGGUGGCAG